CACGUAGGGUGCGAGCGUUGUCCGGAAUUAUUGGGCGUAAAGAGCUCGUAGGCGGUGUGUCGCGUCGGCCGUGAAAACCUGCAGCUUAACUGUGGGCUUGCGGUCGAUACGGGCAGGCUAGAGUUCGGUAGGGGAGUCUGGAAUUCCUGGUGUAGCGGUGAAAUGCGCAGAUAUCAGGAGGAACACCGGUGGCGAAGGCGGGACUCUGGGCCGAUACUGACGCUGAGGAGCGAAAGCGUGGGGAGCAAACAGG
Molecule: ribosomal RNA, 253 nt
Filed under: uncultured bacterium
Lineage: Bacteria
Description: partial 16S ribosomal RNA
Rfam family: Bacterial small subunit ribosomal RNA
Source: RNAcentral